GUAAGAUAGGAAAAAAAAGAGUAUAUAAAACUUAUAUGAAUUAUAGAUCAUUUUGAUUCGACUAUCUUAUCUUUUAAAGUUUUAAUUUUAUUAUCUAAUUUUUUAAUUUAAAUAAUUUGAUGGCUUUUUGGAUGCAAAAAUUUAAGCUACUCAUUUACUAUAAUUAACUUAUGAUUAUGUAAAUUGUAUAAAUUUUACUAACUAAAUCCGUAAAAAUAAACAGCUAGUGUAUUUAAAUUUUAAAGUUA
This 248-nucleotide long non-coding RNA is filed under the name Ananas comosus (pineapple). RNAcentral describes it as "long non-coding RNA (ACOM_LNC006052)". Lineage: Eukaryota; Viridiplantae; Streptophyta; Magnoliopsida; Poales; Bromeliaceae. The record is from RNAcentral.